Molecule: ribosomal RNA, 949 nt
Filed under: uncultured Bacillus sp.
Lineage: Bacteria; Bacillati; Bacillota; Bacilli; Caryophanales; Bacillaceae
Description: bacterial SSU rRNA
Rfam family: Bacterial small subunit ribosomal RNA
Source: RNAcentral
CGUGGGGGGGUGCUAUAAUGCAAGUCGAGCGGACAGAUGGGAGCUUGCUCCCUGAUGUUAGCGGCGGACGGGUGAGUAACACGUGGGUAACCUGCCUGUAAGACUGGGAUAACUCCGGGAAACCGGGGCUAAUACCGGAUGGUUGUCUGAACCGCAUGGUUCAGACAUAAAAGGUGGCUUCGGCUACCACUUACAGAUGGACCCGCGGCGCAUUAGCUAGUUGGUGAGGUAACGGCUCACCAAGGCGACGAUGCGUAGCCGACCUGAGAGGGUGAUCGGCCACACUGGGACUGAGACACGGCCCAGACUCCUACGGGAGGCAGCAGUAGGGAAUCUUCCGCAAUGGACGAAAGUCUGACGGAGCAACGCCGCGUGAGUGAUGAAGGUUUUCGGAUCGUAAAGCUCUGUUGUUAGGGAAGAACAAGUGCCGUUCAAAUAGGGCGGCACCUUGACGGUACCUAACCAGAAAGCCACGGCUAACUACGUGCCAGCAGCCGCGGUAAUACGUAGGUGGCAAGCGUUGUCCGGAAUUAUUGGGCGUAAAGGGCUCGCAGGCGGUUUCUUAAGUCUGAUGUGAAAGCCCCCGGCUCAACCGGGGAGGGUCAUUGGAAACUGGGGAACUUGAGUGCAGAAGAGGAGAGUGGAAUUCCACGUGUAGCGGUGAAAUGCGUAGAGAUGUGGAGGAACACCAGUGGCGAAGGCGACUCUCUGGUCUGUAACUGACGCUGAGGAGCGAAAGCGUGGGGAGCGAACAGGAUUAGAUACCCUGGUAGUCCACGCCGUAAACGAUGAGUGCUAAGUGUUAGGGGGUUUCCGCCCCUUAGUGCUGCAGCUAACGCAUUAAGCACUCCGCCUGGGGAGUACGGUCGCAAGACUGAAACUCAAAGGAAUUGACGGGGGCCCGCACAAGCGGUGGAGCAUGUGGUUUAAUUCGAAGCAACGCGAAGAA